This 612-nucleotide long non-coding RNA is filed under the name Salvia miltiorrhiza (redroot sage). RNAcentral describes it as "long non-coding RNA (SMIL_LNC002162)". The record is from RNAcentral. Lineage: Eukaryota; Viridiplantae; Streptophyta; Magnoliopsida; Lamiales; Lamiaceae.
AAUAUUAUUUUUAUUUUUUAUUUGCCCGUCGUUAAUCUGUCGACAAUUAUUAAAUUUAAUUAAAAAUUUAAGGGCCCGUCGAGAAUCCGUCGACAUAUAUAAAUAAAAAUAAUUAUUUUUAUUAUUUCGGAGGGCCGUCGAGAAUCCGUCGAGAAAUUAAGUUUUCUGAUAUUAGAUCCUCUUCCCCAAAAUCAGUUGCUGUAAAUAUCACUUCCCUACCCCCGCGCUAGCUGCUCCGCCCCCUGCCCCGUCUGCUGCCUCUCCUCGCCGCCGCGCCGCCGGAGUCGCUCUACACGAGCAGGUUCUCCGCUGCUCCGUUUCGUUUCUCUGAAUCAGUUGCCCCGUUCCGUUUCUAUGAAUCAGUUGCCCUAAAUCAGUUCUCUGAUUAUUUUAAUUGACGUCGGCCCCUGCUCCGUUCGCCGCGCCGUCAGCCGGAGCCCCCUGCUGCUGUCUGCCGCCGCUUCUCUCCCCUGCCGGAUCUCCUCUCUCUCUCUCUCUCUCUCUCAAAUUUGAAAGGUGCAUUCAAAGUUAAUUUGCUGAUUUUGUUGAAUUCUCUGCUAAAUUGGAUUUUGAUGCUUUAUGUCCUUUUUCCUCAAAGUUUAUGCCAAAUUC